This 319-nucleotide long non-coding RNA is filed under the name Manihot esculenta (cassava). RNAcentral's name for it is "long non-coding RNA (MESC_LNC007841)". The record is from RNAcentral. Lineage: Eukaryota; Viridiplantae; Streptophyta; Magnoliopsida; Malpighiales; Euphorbiaceae.
GAAAACAUUCAUGACGAAAGUUUUAUCCUAUUUCCACCUAUUCAAAAGGAGGUCUCUGAAGAUACAUGGGUUCCUAAAGCUUCCCUUUUUGACAUAAAUAUCAGCAAGAUUCGAGGACGAAUCAUUUCUAAAGAAGGCGAGAAUGAUACGGAUCUAAUAGGGCAAAUUUCGAACAAUGAUGUGGAGCAAACUUAUGCCAUUCAAAUGGAUCUAAAAGGAGUUCAAAAUCAUAUUCAUAUGAUCCAUAUAUAUUUGGGACGUGCUUUAACUUAUAUGGGACAAAUUUGGUGCAACAUUUGCAAUCAUAGGCUUAGGGAGC